GGAACUGGUCCCAGUUAACAGAGAACAACCCCCAAGGAACUGGUCCCAGUUAACAGAGAACAACCCCCAAGGAACUGGUCCCAGUUAACAGAGAACAACCCCCAAGGAACUGGUCCCAGUUAACAGAGAACAACCCCCAAGGAACAUACAUACCCUGGUAUCCAACAAAGCCUCAAAUUCCUCAUACUUUUCUGUUUUUAUCUCUCCCUUUCUCCUCCUCUCUCUCUCUCUCUCUUUGUAAAUUGGCAUUGUAGAUACUUGAGGAAGUAGUUUGUUAAUAUGUAUAAUUUAGCAGCAAUGCUGUUUUUUUUUUUUUUAAAUAAUGACAAAAUAUUGUGAAUGAUAUAUUUGUUGAUUUGGUUUUGAAAAUCAAACUCCUGAGGCUUUUAAAGUACAGUAAUGUAAUAUUUUCUAUGUAAGGCGGCAAAUGAUGUUCAGCAGAAAAAAAAAGCUAUGCUAGAAAAGCGAUUAAACUAUGUUGAAACUGAGGACUACUGGCUAAGUGAUGACUGGCUAAGUGAUGACUAGCUAAGUGGCUAAGUGAUGACUGGCUAAGUGAUGACUGGCUGACUGGCUAAGUGAUGACUGGCUAAGUGAUGACUGGCUAAGUGGCUAAGUGAUGACUGGCUAAGUGGCUAAGUGAUGACUGGCUAAGUGGCUAAGUGAUGACUGGCUAAGUGAUGACUGGCUAAGUGGCUAAGUGAUGACUGGCUAAGUGGCUAAGUGAUGACUGGCUAAGUGAUGACUGGCUAAGUGAUGACUGGCUAAGUGAUGACUGGCUAAGUGAUGAUCUUGUAAUUACAAAUGUAAAUAAAAUAAUGACAAAUGUUUUAUAAUUAAAUGGUAAAAUUCACCUGUUGUUGUCUAUCUUUUACUGCUGUGUUAGAAACUAAAGCUGUGUUUUUAAGUGAGAACAGGCAUUGGUCUGAAGCCGAAGAAGAUUAAAAAAAAAGGAAAUUCACAUGAGCACCACAACGCCUAUUCCACCCAUGCUAUACCAAGGUUUUACAGCACCACAACGCCUAUUCCACCCAUGCUAUACCACGGUUUUACAGCACCACAACGCCUAUUCCAC
Molecule: long non-coding RNA, 1075 nt
Filed under: Salmo salar (Atlantic salmon)
Lineage: Eukaryota; Metazoa; Chordata; Actinopteri; Salmoniformes; Salmonidae
Description: lncRNA (ENSSSAG00000090895.1)
Source: RNAcentral